RNAcentral lists this ribosomal RNA (492 nucleotides) under uncultured bacterium. RNAcentral's name for it is "partial 16S ribosomal RNA". It matches the Rfam family "Bacterial small subunit ribosomal RNA", at positions 29 to 507 of the family's 1533-position model. The record is from RNAcentral.
AGUGAACGCUGGCGGUAGGCCUAACACAUGCAAGUCGAACGGCAGCACAGUAAGAGCUUGCUCUUACGGGUGGCGAGUGGCGGACGGGUGAGGAAUACAUCGGAAUCUACUUUUUCGUGGGGGAUAACGUAGGGAAACUUACGCUAAUACCGCAUACGACCUACGGGUGGAAGCAGGGGAUCUUCGGACCUUGCGCGAUUGAAUGAGCCGAUGUCGGAUUAGCUAGUUGGCGGGGUAAAGGCCCACCAAGGCGACGAUCCGUAGCUGGUCUGAGAGGAUGAUCAGCCACACUGGAACUGAGACACUGUCCAGACUCCUACGGGAGGCAGCAGUGGGGAAUAUUGGACAAUGGGCGCAAGCCUGAUCCAGCCAUACCGCGUGGGUGAAGAAGGCCUUCGGGUUGUAAAGCCCUUUUGUUGGGAAAGAAAAGCAGCAGGUUAAUACCCCGCUGUUCUGACGGUACCCAAAGAAUAAGCACCGGCUAACUUCGUG